AAAAGGUUGUUUGGCCGCUUCUGAUGGCUCAGGCUUACAUAUGUGAUUGUGACCAAUGAAUCAACUAUUGAAUAUAUGAGAUUGACGGAUGGAGGGCUCAGUGCGGAUGCAAUUUCCAGAUUUCAAAUUGCCAAUUGCGGAAAAAUUUGUUAUGGAUCUCUUUGGGCUAGCUCCUUUCUUUGUACAAAUAUCAAAUGACCUUACGAUGUAUCUUUGCUUGGGCAUGGAAAACAACUUGCCUGCAUCCUACAUGCCAAAGGCGAGUUUUGACG
Molecule: unclassified non-coding RNA, 272 nt
Filed under: Hevea brasiliensis (rubber tree)
Lineage: Eukaryota; Viridiplantae; Streptophyta; Magnoliopsida; Malpighiales; Euphorbiaceae
Source: RNAcentral